Long non-coding RNA from Patella vulgata (common limpet), 209 nucleotides. RefSeq lists it as uncharacterized. NCBI's taxonomy places the organism in Eukaryota, Metazoa, Mollusca, Gastropoda, Patellidae. The transcript is spliced from 3 exons. The record is from RefSeq and is a predicted model, not a curated record.
AUGGAUAAUAGAUUGUUUAAAGCUAUCUACUGUCAGUAAAGCGGCUCUUGGUUUAUUUAACGAGUUAAAUACACUAAAAAUUACCAAGAGUGGUUUGGUUAAAGUGCCUGAUUUUUCUAUGUUUGAGACCAAAUCCAAAGAACACAAUGGUACCAUGUACGAAAUAGAUCUGUCGUCAAAUAAAAUAAAAGUAAUCGAAUCGAGGACAU